ACAAACUUCUGCAGAAAUUUCACGUGACUGCUGGACUCCAGCUGCAUGAGUCUCAGCAAUUCAGCCACUAGUACUCCGUGCAGGUUUCGACCAAGAGCAGGAGCAGAUGUGUGACUAUUGCCACAAGUCCAAUGCCAGAAGAAACUCUGUGGCAGCAGACUAAAGGGUCUAGUUUCUUCGAUGCACAUGGGAUUGAUUCAGGUGACUAAUGGGAGUUUGUUAUGGUCUUGUCUUGAUAUAGCUUAGAGGCCUGAAGGAGCAAUACUAAAGCAAAGAAUCCUGCACUGGC
This is a long non-coding RNA of Chelonia mydas (Green sea turtle), 289 nucleotides long. RefSeq lists it as uncharacterized. The transcript is spliced from 3 exons. Lineage: Eukaryota; Metazoa; Chordata; Testudines; Cheloniidae. The record is from RefSeq and is a predicted model, not a curated record.